RNAcentral lists this ribosomal RNA (437 nucleotides) under uncultured Planctomycetota bacterium. RNAcentral describes it as "bacterial SSU rRNA". It matches the Rfam family "Bacterial small subunit ribosomal RNA", at positions 383 to 810 of the family's 1533-position model. Lineage: Bacteria; Pseudomonadati; Planctomycetota. The record is from RNAcentral.
GUGACGAAGCGACGCCGCGUGGGUGAAGAAGGCCUUCGGGUUGUAAAGCCCUGUCAGGAGUUAUGAAAUAUAGGUACGAUAAUACCGUGCCUAUUUGACAAAGGCUCCAAAGGAAGCCACGGCUAACUCUGUGCCAGCAGCCGCGGUAAUACAGAGGUGGCAAGCGUUGUUCGGAAUUAUUGGGCGUAAAGAGCACGUAGGUGGGUUUGUAAGUCAGGUGUGAAAGCCUUCUGUUCAACAGGAGAAUUGCAUCUGAAACUACAAGUCUUGAGUGUAGGAGGGGAGAAUGGAACUUCUGGUGGAGCGGUGAAAUGCGUAGAUAUCAGAAGGAACGCCGGCGGCGAAAGCGAUUCUCUGGCCUAUUACUGACACUCAGUGUGCGAAAGCUAGGGGAGCAAACGGGAUUAGAUACCCCGGUAGUCCUAGCCGUAAACGAU